Molecule: ribosomal RNA, 468 nt
Filed under: uncultured bacterium
Lineage: Bacteria
Description: partial 16S ribosomal RNA
Rfam family: Bacterial small subunit ribosomal RNA
Source: RNAcentral
GACGAACGCUGGCGGCGUGCUUAACACAUGCAAGUCGAACGGAAAGGCCCUGCUUUUGUGGGGUGCUCGAGUGGCGAACGGGUGAGUAACACGUGAGUAACCUGCCCUUGACUUUGGGAUAACUUCAGGAAACUGGGGCUAAUACCGGAUAGGAGCUCCUGCUGCAUGGUGGGGGUUGGAAAGUUUCGGCGGUUGGGGAUGGACUCGCGGCUUAUCAGCUUGUUGGUGGGGUAGUGGCUUACCAAGGCAUUGACGGGUAGCCGGCCUGAGAGGGUGACCGGCCACAUUGGGACUGAGAUACGGCCCAGACUCCUACGGGAGGCAGCAGUGGGGAAUAUUGCACAAUGGGCGGAAGCCUGAUGCAGCAACGCCGCGUGCGGGAUGACGGCCUUCGGGGUGUAAACCGCUUUCGCCUGUGACGAAGCGUGAGUGACGGUAAUGGGUAAAGAAGCACCGGCUAACUACGUG